GAGGGACUGGUCUGAAAAUUAAAAUAAAAUAAAAUAACCCUCACAUACAUUGAUCUUUUUAUUUUAUAAAAUAAUCGAUUUAUUUAAUUUUAAGGUUACCUAUUCGAACUGAUGAUAGAACUAUCCCAAUCCCCAUCUCAAACCUUCAGACUGAAAAUUAGCAUUUAUUUGCUUUUUUCUUCAGUAACCUAAUUUCCCCAAACACAAAUGUUUUCUAUCUGUAUGCACUCCCCUCUCUGUGUAUCAAGUACCAUAUUGCCUCUAGAAUAAAUUACUGACUGAGCUAGACACCAGGAAAGAAUACCCUUUUGUGCCAUUUCACUGCAAGGGAUUUCUAGGCCUGAAUAUGCCUCUUUGUUGUACAAUGGUGAGCUAAAGUUGCCACAAUUAAUUUUGUGUUGAAGCUGACCUAAUCCACAGUGGGUUAAUGAAAGGAAAAGUGAUCAAAAAGCAGGUAAAAACGGUGGUUCCCAAACAUGACAAAAGACCUCAGCUUUUACUGUGGUAUCGUCCCUUCUCUACUAAAACCAGCUAGAUUCUGACAGAACAAAGGUAGUAGGAUAUUGAUUAAUGUUAGCAUCCUAAAUGUUAUCUCUCUAGUCAAAGUUGUCUGUCCAAGCUAUGUUUUGUGGAGAGGAAUGGAGGCAGAGGAGGGCCUCUGGUUUGCAGAGGAUGUCCAUACUCCAGGUGUCUUAAUGGACACAUACAUGAGGAUGAAUCUCCCUUUGCAAGAUGAUGAAAGAAGACAAGGCUUCUCUUCCAAGAUGAUGUUCUAACUGCAGUACUCUGUGGGUGAUCAUUUACUGAGACUCCAAGUGACUUCUCACACCAGAAGAGUAGCAAAAACCCUUAUUAUCUGGGUAAGUCAGUCUACUUCUUUAGAUCUGUUUUGAGGUGACAAUAAUUUUGUCGUAUAGGUACUGCUUCCACCCUACCCCAGUAAUUAGAUUACACUACAAAACCCAGAUAACUUCAGUUGGGUGUGGUAGCAUUCCUGUCCCUAUUUGGAUUCACAGCCCUGAUGAGCUAUGCAGUGCCGGUAACAGACCAAGGGCCAGAAAUGGGGACUUCAUCAUCCUGGGUGAGAAUUCUAAGCACUGAGCCAUUAUACAUGUAUUGCAGCACUGAGCUUAUCCACACCACAGCCAUAAACUGAAACUGUCAUUGCAUGUCUGGCCAACUCACAACAUGACAGAGGAAAUGUCAUUUGGGCCAGCAGCACUGGGAUCUCUAACUUCUGUGAAAGACAGCAGAUUUCUUUCUGCUAUCACCCUAAAAUCUCACCUGAAAUAAAAUUAGUUUAUUAGAAUAUAAUUUAUGUGCU
Molecule: long non-coding RNA, 1324 nt
Filed under: Anas platyrhynchos platyrhynchos (common mallard)
Lineage: Eukaryota; Metazoa; Chordata; Aves; Anseriformes; Anatidae
Description: lncRNA (ENSAPLG00000031241.1)
Source: RNAcentral